This 601-nucleotide ribosomal RNA is filed under the name Pseudomonas sp. SA041. RNAcentral describes it as "bacterial SSU rRNA". It matches the Rfam family "Bacterial small subunit ribosomal RNA", at positions 83 to 680 of the family's 1533-position model. Lineage: Bacteria; Pseudomonadati; Pseudomonadota; Gammaproteobacteria; Pseudomonadales; Pseudomonadaceae. The record is from RNAcentral.
CUCUCUGAUUCAGCGGCGGACGGGUGAGUAAUGCCUAGGAAUCUGCCUGGUAGUGGGGGACAACGUCUCGAAAGGGACGCUAAUACCGCAUACGUCCUACGGGAGAAAGCAGGGGACCUUCGGGCCUUGCGCUAUCAGAUGAGCCUAGGUCGGAUUAGCUAGUUGGUGAGGUAAUGGCUCACCAAGGCGACGAUCCGUAACUGGUCUGAGAGGAUGAUCAGUCACACUGGAACUGAGACACGGUCCAGACUCCUACGGGAGGCAGCAGUGGGGAAUAUUGGACAAUGGGCGAAAGCCUGAUCCAGCCAUGCCGCGUGUGUGAAGAAGGUCUUCGGAUUGUAAAGCACUUUAAGUUGGGAGGAAGGGUUGUAGAUUAAUACUCUGCAAUUUUGACGUUACCGACAGAAUAAGCACCGGCUAACUCUGUGCCAGCAGCCGCGGUAAUACAGAGGGUGCAAGCGUUAAUCGGAAUUACUGGGCGUAAAGCGCGCGUAGGUGGUUUGUUAAGUUGGAUGUGAAAGCCCCGGGCUCAACCUGGGAACUGCAUUCAAAACUGACAAGCUAGAGUAUGGUAGAGGGUGGUGGAAUUUCCUGUGUAGCG